CUAACACUUCAGUGUCAAGUAAAUGGAUUUCCUCAUCAUUCCAAAGUAGCUGAAUAAAAUGUGUGCUUUUGUUCCUCAGCCCUUUGUGUCAUUUGAGACAGCUGUCUGUCCUCUUCAGUAGGUGACAUUCAGCACAUUCAUUUGAGCCAGGACUUAGGGAAUCUUCACAUGCUACGGCCAUGCUGACCUUUUCACUGAAUUUGACAAUCCUCCGUCAUUCUUUCCCUAGGAACACCAAGGACUCAGUUCCAUUCAUUAAUUCCUGUGGGCAUAUCCUUGACUCAUGACAUUACAGGUUCUCCAUGAAAAGACCAGAAGGCAUUUGGAAUAAUGGUAUUGAGGGGUUCUCAAUAUGGAACUUUCGGGUUGAGGACCCACAGAACAGAAGCGACUUAGAAAGAGAUCAUCAUGACGAGACUUCAGGCUAAUCAAGCCAUUGGUUCCCGUUAGCAUUCUGACAGAAUUCCGGAUCCUCAGUGUGUCCUCACAACCCCCCUCAGAGACAGACGACCGGCAUCUUUAAGAACCCAGACCUUCUUGUCAGCCUUAAACUUGCCACCUGAGUCUCCAGAGAGUAGAGAUGAUUAUUCCUGAUUUGAAUAAGGAUGCUGAGAUUCAGAGAGCAGUGAAUUGGUAAAGUGUGAUGAGUUUUUCUUGAGCAACCCCACGGCAAGGUCCAAGCCCUCCUGAAUCUCCGAAAUGAAGCCCAGAUGAUGCCCAGGAGCAUCAGCGUGGUCUUCUUGUCUCCUUGUUCCUCACUCAGCAGUGUAUCCAAAUGUUGCUGAGUCUCCAAUGCAUGGGCAGGUGCAUGAGUGUCCCUCUCCAUGGAGUUAUGGUGACUUCCACGCUGCGUGAAGAUCCUCCUGACAGCCUCUCAGGUAGACGCAGUACGCUGAUGGUGAGAAAACCACAGAGCCUUGUCUCCUGGAGCUUUUGGGUCUGUGGGGAAGACAAGCAACCAAACAAGCAAUGGCCAUCAAGCGAGGCAGAUGCUGUGACAGAGGAGGCCCACCUCACUAGAGGAGGGGACAGGGAAGGCUUCCCAGAGAAGGACAACUCGAGUCCAGAGCUUCGAAGCUGCAUCUCAGCUGGCUAGGUCUAUAGGAGGCAUGGCUAAUCCAGGCUGAAGGAAAAGGCAAGAGGCACAUUCUGCUCUGAAAAAAAAUUAAAGGAAGGUGAAGGAAGAGAGAGGAAGGGAGGUAAUAAAGAGAAGGAGAAAGGGAGAAAAGAAGGAAGGAAGCUCAUUUUGGCUAAAACAUAGAGUUAGACAGUGGGGUAGUGUGCAAAGAGAGAUGAAGUUUGCAAGGGAGGUAGAGGCCAGGUGAGAAAGAACCUGGGGGCCCUUCUCAUGGAUUCAAUGUGACCUAAGAGGAAG
Molecule: long non-coding RNA, 1375 nt
Filed under: Macaca mulatta (Rhesus monkey)
Lineage: Eukaryota; Metazoa; Chordata; Mammalia; Primates; Cercopithecidae
Description: lncRNA (ENSMMUG00000054999.1)
Source: RNAcentral